ANGNNGNCUUAUCAUGCNAGUCGAGCGAAUGAUGAGGAGCUUGCUCCUCUGAUUUAGCGGCGGACGGGUGAGUAACACGUGGGUAAUCUGCCUGUAAGACGGGGAUAACUCCGGGAAACCGGGGCUAAUACCGGAUAACAAGAGAAGAUGCAUAUCUUCUUUUUGAAAGUCGGUUUCGGCUGACACUUACAGAUGAGCCCGCGGCGCAUUAGCUAGUUGGUGAGGUAACGGCUCACCAAGGCGACGAUGCGUAGCCGACCUGAGAGGGUGAUCGGCCACACUGGGACUGAGACACGGCCCAGACUCCUACGGANGGCAGCAGA
RNAcentral lists this ribosomal RNA (323 nucleotides) under Bacillus sp. RNF-10b. RNAcentral's name for it is "bacterial SSU rRNA". It matches the Rfam family "Bacterial small subunit ribosomal RNA", at positions 53 to 355 of the family's 1533-position model. Lineage: Bacteria; Bacillati; Bacillota; Bacilli; Caryophanales; Bacillaceae. The record is from RNAcentral.